CUCAGCGUGUUUGUUUGUCUCUAAUACCUGUUCCCUUAUUGCAGAUUUCAAAUAAGAUGAUAGACUGGGAGUGCAGGGUGUAAAAAGAUUCAUCGUUCAAGACUCCACCUCCUCAGACACCACAGACUAGAACAUAGACACUGCUCAAAAAUAAGUCCACUUCCAUCUUGAAGAUUCUGAAGUGCACAUUGAGAAAGAGCCACUGGAGCAAUAUACGGUUGUGCGUUACAGCUCUAAUGGCCAAAUGCAUAGUGACCCAGUGAAUGUCUCUGUUGUUCUUGAGGACGAAUUGGUCACCACCCACAACCAACUUCCAGAGGCGUUUCUUGUCCUGUUUGGAUUCCUGUAUGCUUUUCACAUACAUAUUCCUAAAGGACUUGCAAAAACAUUUGUAUUUGUGCAAAAAACUUUUGCUUGGCAUGGAAGAUGGGAAAUUGUCUCCUAGCCUGCAAACCUUAAAGAACGAGUUGAUGUGAAGCAUAACUUGUACUACCUCAGCACACACAAAAGACAAAAAGAGUUACUUAAAUGUUAUCUAACUGAUGUUACUUUGAUUUUUUUACUUGUAUCUACUUAGUUCUUAUUGACAAGUUAUUGUAUUAACAAACCGGUUCAGUUUAAGAAAUUGUCAUGUUUAAUGCAACUGUGUGGUGUUAAUAUAUGAAGUUGGCUGUUAAGCAUUCCUUGCUCAUUUCUCAUUUUAUAAAAUGCUGUUAAACAGUUUGAGCCUGUUAAAAGGUAUGGUGUUUUGCUAAGAGAAUUUAAUUUUUGACUGGAAAAUAUGAAAUGCU
Paramisgurnus dabryanus is the source of this 791-nucleotide long non-coding RNA. RefSeq lists it as uncharacterized. The record is from RefSeq and is a predicted model, not a curated record. NCBI's taxonomy places the organism in Eukaryota, Metazoa, Chordata, Actinopteri, Cypriniformes, Cobitidae.